RNAcentral lists this ribosomal RNA (344 nucleotides) under uncultured Pseudomonas sp. Its description in RNAcentral is "bacterial SSU rRNA". It matches the Rfam family "Bacterial small subunit ribosomal RNA", at positions 1037 to 1382 of the family's 1533-position model. The record is from RNAcentral. Lineage: Bacteria; Pseudomonadati; Pseudomonadota; Gammaproteobacteria; Pseudomonadales; Pseudomonadaceae.
GGUGCAGUGGUUGUCGUCAGCUCGUGUCGUGAGAUGUUGGGUUAAGUCCCGUAACGAGCGCAACCCUUGUCCUUAGUUACCAGCACGUUAUGGUGGGCACUCUAAGGAGACUGCCGGUGACAAACCGGAGGAAGGUGGGGAUGACGUCAAGUCAUCAUGGCCCUUACGGCCUGGGCUACACACGUGCUACAAUGGUCGGUACAAAGGGUUGCCAAGCCGCGAGGUGGAGCUAAUCCCAUAAAACCGAUCGUAGUCCGGAUCGCAGUCUGCAACUCGACUGCGUGAAGUCGGAAUCGCUAGUAAUCGUGAAUCAGAAUGUCACGGUGAAUACGUUCCCGGGCCUU